Molecule: unclassified non-coding RNA, 253 nt
Filed under: uncultured Bacillaceae bacterium
Lineage: Bacteria; Bacillati; Bacillota; Bacilli; Caryophanales; Bacillaceae
Description: contains 16S-23S intergenic spacer region
Rfam family: Bacterial small subunit ribosomal RNA
Source: RNAcentral
UACGUAGGUGGCAAGCGUUGUCCGGAAUUAUUGGGCGUAAAGCGGGUGUAGGUGGACUGGUAAGUCAGAUGUGAAAGCCCUGGGCUCAACCCGGGAAGUGCAUUUGAUACUGUCAGUCUUGAGUGCAGAAGAGGAGAGUGGAAUUCCACGUGUAGCGGUGAGAUGCGUAGAGAUGUGGAGGAACACCAGUGGCGAAGGCGACUCUCUGGUCUGUAACUGACGCUGAGGAGCGAAAGCGUGGGGAGCGAACAGG